Molecule: long non-coding RNA, 131 nt
Filed under: Monodelphis domestica (gray short-tailed opossum)
Lineage: Eukaryota; Metazoa; Chordata; Mammalia; Didelphimorphia; Didelphidae
Description: lncRNA (ENSMODG00000036300.2)
Source: RNAcentral
AGCAUGAAUUUUUCAUGUUGUGCCUGACAAAGGAACAGUGCAAUAAAGUGGAAAUAAGACUGGAUUUGGACCAUCCUUGGUGCUUAGUGUCUGCACAUGAUGAAAAAAUAUUUCCGUUCCUGUCAACCUAG